UUGAAUCCAUAGCCCUUCUUGCCAUCGUGUUGUUCACCGAAGUGGAGCUCCUAGUAGCUCCCGAUCAUACCUCCAUAUGAUCUAGUCCCUCCCGGGACUAUGUCGUGUGAAUCGCAUUGCCACGAACUGUUCCACCACGAUCCGCUGCACAUGUCGCCUCCUGGUUACAUCUCCAUUGCAUUCUGAUCCUUGUGGAAUAAACUCGAAUUAUGAACCCUCCAUGUGUGGCCUCUGCCAAUACAUCGCAGGGUCUCCUCCAUCUUCGAUUUUGUUCGCUCCUUUGGCAAUCGACCUUCAUCCACCCACUCUUGGGUCACACCUAGAUGAAGCAUCGCUCUAGGACAGUCCGUCACCUAGUAGCUCCCGAAGUCCACCGACUUCACUGUAAUUUGUGCACCAUUGUCUGGAUCCUGGGCCUCUGCCCCUACCAGCACAAUCUCCGCUGCGCACUGCUUCCUUCAUAGCAACUUGAAUGGCAACACUAUGGCAUAUUCUUCAAGAGUACCCGCCUCUACGUCCUCUUGCCCCGUGCUAAGGCCUUAUGUACCCAACUUCGCCUCCGCAAAUUGAGUCGCCUUAGUUCCUCCAUCAAAUGCUUCUCCGAGAUAAGGUGCAUGUGCCCCGAAGCUCCCUUCGUCUUUGGCACC
This 647-nucleotide long non-coding RNA is filed under the name Musa acuminata (dwarf banana). RNAcentral describes it as "long non-coding RNA (MACU_LNC009218)". The record is from RNAcentral. Lineage: Eukaryota; Viridiplantae; Streptophyta; Magnoliopsida; Zingiberales; Musaceae.